AUACGUAGGGGGCGAGCGUUGUCCGGAAUGAUUGGGCGUAAAGGGCGCGUAGGCGGCCCGGUAAGUCUGGAGUGAAAGUCCUGUUUUUAAGAUGGGAAUUGCUUUGGAUACUGUCGGGCUUGAGUGCAGGAGAGGUAAGUGGAAUUCCCAGUGUAGCGGUGAAAUGCGUAGAGAUUGGGAGGAACACCAGUGGCGAAGGCGACUUACUGGACUGUAACUGAGGCUGAGGCGCGAAAGUGUGGGGAGCAAACAGGAUUAGAUACCCUGGUAGUCCACACUGUAAACGAUGAAUGCUAGGUGUAGGGGGUAUCGACCCCUUCUGUGCCGCAGUCAACACAAUAAGCAUUCCGCCUGGGGAGUACGGCCGCAAGGUUGAAACUCAAAUGAAUUGACGGGG
This 397-nucleotide ribosomal RNA is filed under the name uncultured bacterium. RNAcentral describes it as "partial 16S ribosomal RNA". It matches the Rfam family "Bacterial small subunit ribosomal RNA", at positions 523 to 918 of the family's 1533-position model. The record is from RNAcentral.